RNAcentral lists this non-coding RNA (26 nucleotides) under Mus musculus (house mouse). The record is from RNAcentral. Lineage: Eukaryota; Metazoa; Chordata; Mammalia; Rodentia; Muridae.
UAAGUCCAUCUUUGGGUCCUGACAUG